UUGUUUCCUUUUUUUUCUUCUAUUCUCCCUUUUCAUCUAGGUUCACUAUGAAGAGCAAAGUUAGCACCUGUGCAAUGAUCCAAUUUGUUUUUGGGAUUUUGUGCUACAUUUCACCUCACCAAUUGCAGCUUCACCACAAGAAAAAAAAUGAAGCCUGUAAAGAUAGCAAUUCUGAGUGGAUUCUAGAAAGACGGUAGAAUAUCAGCAACCUCCCUCCCUCCCAAAAUGACAAGUAUACUGGAAGAAUCUGUCUGCUACAACCAUUUUAUAAGUCUGAAGUCUAUGAAAGGUAUGCAACAUCCAUGUUAAGGCUUAGACACGAAUUUUAGUUAAUUUAGAUGAAUUUCAGUUCUUUUCUCUGCAGGUAAGACAAGUCACCUCCUACCCCUUCAUGUUCUUGG
RNAcentral lists this long non-coding RNA (401 nucleotides) under Chinchilla lanigera (long-tailed chinchilla). RNAcentral describes it as "lncRNA (ENSCLAG00000026973.1)". Lineage: Eukaryota; Metazoa; Chordata; Mammalia; Rodentia; Chinchillidae. The record is from RNAcentral.